This 381-nucleotide ribosomal RNA is filed under the name uncultured bacterium. RNAcentral describes it as "bacterial SSU rRNA". It matches the Rfam family "Bacterial small subunit ribosomal RNA", at positions 524 to 904 of the family's 1533-position model. The record is from RNAcentral.
UACGUAGGGUGCAAGCGUUAAUCGGAAUUACUGGGCGUAAAGCGUGCGCAGGCGGUCCGCUAAGACAGAUGUGAAAUCCCCGGGCUUAACCUGGGAACUGCAUUUGUGACUGGCGGGCUAGAGUAUGGCAGAGGGGGGUAGAAUUCCACGUGUAGCAGUGAAAUGCGUAGAGAUGUGGAGGAAUACCGAUGGCGAAGGCAGCCCCCUGGGCCAAUACUGACGCUCAUGCACGAAAGCGUGGGGGAGCAAACAGGAUUAGAUACCCUGGUAGUCCACGCCCUAAACGAUGUCAACUAGUUGUCGGGUCUUCAUUGACUUGGUAACGUAGCUAACGCGUGAAGUUGACCGCCUGGGGAGUACGGUCGCAAGAUUAAAACUCAA